This 74-nucleotide transfer RNA is filed under the name Candidatus Methanoplasma glyptotermitis. RNAcentral describes it as "tRNA-His". It matches the Rfam family "tRNA". From Rfam's summary of the family: Transfer RNA (tRNA) molecules are approximately 80 nucleotides in length. Lineage: Archaea; Methanobacteriati; Thermoplasmatota; Thermoplasmata; Methanomassiliicoccales; Methanomassiliicoccaceae. RNAcentral also lists the same sequence under 1 other name. The record is from RNAcentral.
GCCGGGGUGGGGUAGCUUGGUUAUCCUUGGGGAUUGUGGAUCCCUUGACCCGGGUUCAAAUCUCGGUCCCGGCC